RNAcentral lists this ribosomal RNA (466 nucleotides) under uncultured bacterium. RNAcentral's name for it is "partial 16S ribosomal RNA". It matches the Rfam family "Bacterial small subunit ribosomal RNA", at positions 28 to 507 of the family's 1533-position model. The record is from RNAcentral.
GACGAACGCUGGCGGCGUGCUUAACACAUGCAAGUCGAACGGAAAGGCCCUGCUUGCAGGGUACUCGAGUGGCGAACGGGUGAGUAACACGUGGGUGAUCUGCCCUGCACUUCGGGAUAAGCUUGGGAAACUGGGUCUAAUACCGGAUAGGAGCCAUCUUUAGUGUGGUGGUUGGAAAGUUUUUUCGGUGUAGGAUGAGCUCGCGGCCUAUCAGCUUGUUGGUGGGGUAAUGGCCUACCAAGGCGGCGACGGGUAGCCGGCCUGAGAGGGUGUACGGCCACAUUGGGGCUGAGAUACGGCCCAGACUCCUACGGGGGGCAGCAGUGGGGAAUAUUGCACAAUGGGCGCAAGCCUGAUGCAGCGACGCCGCGUGGGGGAUGAAGGCGUUCGGGUUGUAAACUCCUGUCGCUAGGGACGAAGCUUUUUUGUGACGGUACCUAGAUAAGAAGCACCGGCUAACUACGUG